CCUACGGGUGGCAGCAGUGAGGAAUAUUGCUCAAUUGGCGCGAGCCUGAACCAGCCAAGUAGCGUGAAUGAUGACUGCCCUACGGGUUGUAAACUUCUUUUAUAAAGGAAUAAAGUUAGGCACGUGUGCCUUUUUGUAUGUACUUUAUGAAUAAGGAUCGGCUAACUCCGUGCCAGCAGCAGCGGUAAUACGGAGGAUCCGAGCGUUACCCGGAUUUGUUGGGUUUAAAGGGAGCGUAGAUGGGUUGUUAAGUCAGUUGUGAAAGUUUGCGGCUCAACCGUAAAAUUGCAAUUGAUACUGGCAGGCUGGAGUACAGUUGAGGUAGGCAGAAUUCGUUGUGUAGCGGUGAAAUGCUUAGAUAUCACGAAGAACUCCGAUUGCGAAGGCAGCUUACUAAACUGCGACUGACAUUGAUGCUCGAAAGUGUGGGUAUCAAACAGGAUUAGAUACCCUGGUAGUC
Molecule: ribosomal RNA, 460 nt
Filed under: uncultured bacterium
Lineage: Bacteria
Description: partial 16S ribosomal RNA
Rfam family: Bacterial small subunit ribosomal RNA
Source: RNAcentral